CAGUAGCCGCGGUAAAACGUAGGGUGCAAGCGUUAAUCGGAAUUACUGGGCGUAAAGCGUGCGCAGGCGGUUUGUUAAGACAGAUGUGAAAUCCCCGGGCUCAACCUGGGAACUGCAUUUGUGACUGGCAAGCUAGAGUGUGGCAGAGGGGGGUGGAAUUCCGCGUGUAGCAGUGAAAUGCGUAGAUAUGCGGAGGAACACCGAUGGCGAAGGCAGCCCCCUGGGCCAAUACUGACGCUCAUGCACGAAAGCGUGGGGAGCAAACAGGAUUAGAUACCCGCGUAGUCCCUGUCUCUUAUAA
Molecule: ribosomal RNA, 301 nt
Filed under: uncultured bacterium
Lineage: Bacteria
Description: partial 16S ribosomal RNA
Rfam family: Bacterial small subunit ribosomal RNA
Source: RNAcentral